Humulus lupulus (European hop) is the source of this 464-nucleotide long non-coding RNA. RefSeq lists it as uncharacterized. The transcript is spliced from 2 exons. Lineage: Eukaryota; Viridiplantae; Streptophyta; Magnoliopsida; Rosales; Cannabaceae. The record is from RefSeq and is a predicted model, not a curated record.
UAGGAAUAAUAGCUCAAGUGCCCUGCAAAAGGUGGGAACUCUGCAUUGCUGAAGUUAAGUCCUGUUGUACUCUAUGUCUACGUACCCCUUUUUUGUUGUGUACGUGGGGAGGCGCCCUGGAGUGUAUACAACAUGGGGAGUUACCCAUGCUCAAAUUUUCGACUUCCCCGGUGGCUGAUUCGAAGGGUUUAACAGUUUGACGGAGGCAUUGGAGGCUUUUCGCCAGUUUAGAAGAGAUAACGGAGGCCACCCCAACAUUGGCAGUGAGGAGUUUGAGAUCGAUCUGGAAAGUGGCAUUCGAUGUAGAGUUGUAGGAAGAACCAUUGAUGAGGAGGAUGUGGCCAAUGCAUACCGAAUGGGGAUGCUAAUGGGAGUGCUCCGUGCGGAGUCCCGUCGUUAUGAUCGCCUCCGGGAAAGGUUUAGGGCAGAGCUCGCUACAUCCGACAGUCCGGGACCAUCAAACA